UGCAUUCACUACUGUAAGUCGCUCUGGAUAAGAAGCGUCUGCUAAAAUGACUAAAA
This is a non-coding RNA of Salmo salar (Atlantic salmon), 56 nucleotides long. The record is from Rfam. Lineage: Eukaryota; Metazoa; Chordata; Actinopteri; Salmoniformes; Salmonidae.